GCUAUGACGGUGCUGGCGGCGGUGGUGAUAGGGAGUGUUGGAGGUGUAGCCCGAAGUUGUGGGGGUAAAGUGCUAGUAGGCGGUUGGUCGCGUCUGCCGUGAAAGUCCGGGGCUUAACUCCGGAUCUGCGGUGGGUACGGGCAGACUAGAGUGCAGUAGGGGAGACUGGAAUUCCUGGUGUAGCGGUGGAAUGCGCAGAUAUCAGGAGGAACACCGAUGGCGAAGGCAGGUCUCUGGGCUGUAACUGACGCUGAGGAGCGAAAGCAUGGGGAGCGAACAGGAUUAGAUACCCCAGUAGUC
RNAcentral lists this ribosomal RNA (300 nucleotides) under uncultured Sporosarcina sp. RNAcentral describes it as "bacterial SSU rRNA". The stretch from base 60 to 300 matches the Rfam family "Bacterial small subunit ribosomal RNA", at positions 555 to 795 of the family's 1533-position model. The record is from RNAcentral. Lineage: Bacteria; Bacillati; Bacillota; Bacilli; Caryophanales; Caryophanaceae.